AAAUUGAAGAGUUUGAUCAUGGCUCAGAUUGAACGCUGGCGGCAGGCCUAACACAUGCAAGUCGAGCGGAAACGAGUUAUCUGAACCUUCGGGGAAGGAUAACGGCGUCGAGCGGCGGACGGGUGAGUAAUGCCUAGGAAAUUGCCCUGAUGUGGGGGAUAACCAUUGGAAACGAUGGCUAAUACCGCAUGAUGCCUACGGGCCAAAGAGGGGGACCUUCGGGCCUCUCGCGUCAGGAUAUGCCUAGGUGGGAUUAGCUAGUUGGUGAGGUAAGGGCUCACCAAGGCGACGAUCCCUAGCUGGUCUGAGAGGAUGAUCAGCCACACUGGAACUGAGACACGGUCCAGACUCCUACGGGAGGCAGCAGUGGGGAAUAUUGCACAAUGGGCGCAAGCCUGAUGCAGCCAUGCCGCGUGUGUGAAGAAGGCCUUCGGGUUGUAAAGCACUUUCAGUCGUGAGGAAGGUAGUGUAGUUAAUAGCUGCAUUAUUUGACGUUAGCGACAGAAGAAGCACCGGCUAACUCCGUGCCAGCAGCCGCGGUAAUACGGAGGGUGCGAGCGUUAAUCGGAAUUACUGGGCGUAAAGCGCAUGCAGGUGGUUUGUUAAGUCAGAUGUGAAAGCCCGGGGCUCAACCUCGGAAUUGCAUUUGAAACUGGCAGACUAGAGUACUGUAGAGGGGGUAGAAUUUCAGGUGUAGCGGUGAAAUGCGUAGAGAUCUGAAGGAAUACCGGUGGCGAAGGCGGCCCCCUGGACAGAUACUGACACUCAGAUGCGAAAGCGUGGGGAGCAAACAGGAUUAGAUACCCUGGUAGUCCACGCCGUAAACGAUGUCUACUUGGAGGUUGUGGCCUUGAGCCGUGGCUUUCGGAGCUAACGCGUUAAGUAGACCGCCUGGGGAGUACGGUCGCAAGAUUAAAACUCAAAUGAAUUGACGGGGGCCCGCACAAGCGGUGGAGCAUGUGGUUUAAUUCGAUGCAACGCGAAGAACCUUACCUACUCUUGACAUCCAGAGAACUUUCCAGAGAUGGAUUGGUGCCUUCGGGAACUCUGAGACAGGUGCUGCAUGGCUGUCGUCAGCUCGUGUUGUGAAAUGUUGGGUUAAGUCCCGCAACGAGCGCAACCCUUAUCCUUGUUUGCCAGCGAGUAAUGUCGGGAACUCCAGGGAGACUGCCGGUGAUAAACCGGAGGAAGGUGGGGACGACGUCAAGUCAUCAUGGCCCUUACGAGUAGGGCUACACACGUGCUACAAUGGCGCAUACAGAGGGCGGCCAACUUGCGAAAGUGAGCGAAUCCCAAAAAGUGCGUCGUAGUCCGGAUUGGAGUCUGCAACUCGACUCCAUGAAGUCGGAAUCGCUAGUAAUCGUGGAUCAGAAUGCCACGGUGAAUACGUUCCCGGGCCUUGUACACACCGCCCGUCACACCAUGGGAGUGGGCUGCAAAAGAAGUAGGUAGUUUAACCUUCGGGGGGACGCUUACCACUUUGUGGUUCAUGACUGGGGUGAAGUCGUAACAAGGUAGCGCUAGGGGAACCUGGCGCUGGAUCACCUCCUUAAACGAUGAU
This 1561-nucleotide ribosomal RNA is filed under the name Vibrio parahaemolyticus. Its description in RNAcentral is "bacterial SSU rRNA". It matches the Rfam family "Bacterial small subunit ribosomal RNA". Lineage: Bacteria; Pseudomonadati; Pseudomonadota; Gammaproteobacteria; Vibrionales; Vibrionaceae. The record is from RNAcentral.